This 85-nucleotide transfer RNA is filed under the name Bacillus thuringiensis. Its description in RNAcentral is "tRNA-Val". The stretch from base 7 to 75 matches the Rfam family "tRNA", at positions 7 to 64 of the family's 71-position model. From Rfam's summary of the family: Transfer RNA (tRNA) molecules are approximately 80 nucleotides in length. Their secondary structure includes four short double-helical elements and three loops (D, anti-codon, and T loops). Further hydrogen bonds mediate the characteristic L-shaped molecular structure. tRNAs have two regions of fundamental functional importance: the anti-codon, which is responsible for specific mRNA codon recognition, and the 3' end, to which the tRNAs corresponding amino acid is attached (by aminoacyl-tRNA synthetases). tRNAs cope with the degeneracy of the genetic code in two manners: having more than one tRNA (with a specific anti-codon) for a particular amino acid; and 'wobble' base-pairing, i.e. permitting non-standard base-pairing at the 3rd anti-codon position. The record is from RNAcentral. Lineage: Bacteria; Bacillati; Bacillota; Bacilli; Caryophanales; Bacillaceae.
GGAGGAUUAGCUCAGCUGGGAGAGCACCUGCCUUACAAGCAGGGGGUCGGCGGUAUCCCGGGUUCGAAUCCCGUACGGGUCACCA